GAUGAACGCUGGCGGCGUGCCUAAUACAUGCAAGUCGAGCGAAGCGGGGACGGGUGAGUAACACGUGGAUAACCUCCUAUAAGACUGGGAUAACUUCGGGAAACUGGAGCUAAACCGGGUACUUAUAGAUGGAUCUGAGCUGCAUUAGCUAGUUGGUAAGGUAACGGCUUACCAAGGCAACGAUGCAUAGCCGACCUGGGAGGUGAGUCGGCCACUGGAACUGGGACGCAGGCCAGACUCCUGCGGGAGGCAGCAGUAGGGAAUCUUCCGCAAUGGACGAAGGGCUGACCGAGCAACGCCGCGUGAGUGAAGAGGGUUUUCGGAUCGUGGAACUCUGUUGUUAGAGUAGCGGUAUCUAACCAGAAAGCCAUGGCUAACUACGUGCCAGCGGCAGCGGUAAUAC
This 403-nucleotide ribosomal RNA is filed under the name uncultured bacterium. RNAcentral's name for it is "partial 16S ribosomal RNA". It matches the Rfam family "Bacterial small subunit ribosomal RNA", at positions 28 to 526 of the family's 1533-position model. The record is from RNAcentral.